UACGAAGGGGGCUAGCGUUGCUCGGAAUCACUGGGCGUAAGGCGCACGUAGGCGGAUUGCUAAGUCAGGGGUGAAAUCCUGGAGCUCAACUCCAGAACUGCCUUUGAUACUGGCGAUCUCGAGUCCGGAAGAGGUGAGUGGAACUCCUAGUGUAGAGGUGGAAUUCGUAGAUAUUAGGAAGAACACCAGUGGCGAAGGCGGCUCACUGGUCCGGUACUGACGCUGAGGUGCGAAAGCGUGGGGAGCAAACAGG
This 253-nucleotide ribosomal RNA is filed under the name uncultured bacterium. RNAcentral describes it as "partial 16S ribosomal RNA". It matches the Rfam family "Bacterial small subunit ribosomal RNA", at positions 524 to 776 of the family's 1533-position model. The record is from RNAcentral.